ACUCAAAUGAAUUGACGGGGGCCCGCACAAGCAGCGGAGCGUGUGGUUUAAUUCGACGCAACGCGAAGAACCUUACCAGGAUUUGACAUGGUGGUGUAAGCCGGUGAAAGUCGGCCCCUCCGCAAGGAGCGCCAUCACAGAUGCUGCAUGGCUGUCGUCAGCUCGUGCCGUGAGGUGUUGGGUUAAGUCCCGCAACGAGCGCAACCCUCGGGGUUAGUUACUGUGUCUAACCCGACUGCCGCGACAAACGCGGAGGAAGGUGGGGAUGAUGUCAAGUCAGCACGGCUCUUACAUCCUGGGCUACACACACGCUACAAUGGACGCGACAGAGGGCUUGCCAAGCCGCAAGGCGGAGCGAAUCCCACCAAAGGCGUCCUCAGUUCAGAUCGGCGUCUGCAACCCGACGCCGUGAAGGCGGAGUUGCUAGUAACCGCAGGUCAGCACACUGCGGUGAAUACGUUCCCGGGCCUUGUACACACCGCCCGU
RNAcentral lists this ribosomal RNA (486 nucleotides) under uncultured bacterium. RNAcentral describes it as "partial 16S ribosomal RNA". It matches the Rfam family "Bacterial small subunit ribosomal RNA", at positions 899 to 1397 of the family's 1533-position model. The record is from RNAcentral.